This is a non-coding RNA of Oryza glaberrima (African rice), 204 nucleotides long. The record is from Rfam. Lineage: Eukaryota; Viridiplantae; Streptophyta; Magnoliopsida; Poales; Poaceae.
AAUGUAUGACGCCGUUGAUUUUUUAAUCAACGUUUGACCAUUCGUCUUAUUCAAAAAAUUUAUGUAAUUAUCAUUUAUUUUAUUGUGGCUUGAUUUAUCAUCAAAUAUUCUUCAAGUAUAACAUAAAUAUUUUUAUAUUUGCAAAAAAAAUUUGAAUAAGACGAAUGAUCAAACGUUGUUAAAAAAUUAAUGGCGUCAUACAUU